CACGUAGUUAGCCGUGACUUCCUCGCCGGGUACCAUCACUCAGAAAGCUUUCCACUCUUCCUGCCUUUUGUCCCCGGCAACAGAGCUUUACGAUCCGAAGACCUUCCUCGCUCACGCGGCAUUGCUCGUUCAGGGUUCCCCCACUUGACGAAAAUUCCCUACUGCUGCCUCCCGCAGGAGUCUGGGCCGUGUCUCAGUCCCAGUGUGGCCGUCCGCCCUCUCAGGCCGGCUAUGCAUCGUCGCCUUGGUGAGCCGUUACCUCUCCAACCAGCUAAUGCACCGCAGGUCCAUCUGCAUGCGGGACUCUUGUCCCCUUUUACAAAAAGAGAUGCCUCCUCUUUGCUCAUCCGGUAUCAGCUUCCGUUUCCAGUAAGUUCCUCCCGCUCAUGCAGGCAGGUUCCCACGUGUUACUCACCCGUUCGCCACUCAUAUCCGAAAGAUAGUCCGUUCGACUUUGCAUGGUAAUUAGGCAUUCGCCGCCAGUCCGUUCAUUCCCUAGAGCC
RNAcentral lists this ribosomal RNA (503 nucleotides) under uncultured Bacillota bacterium. Its description in RNAcentral is "uncultured Firmicutes bacterium partial 16S ribosomal RNA". Lineage: Bacteria; Bacillati; Bacillota. The record is from RNAcentral.